CCACAAAUUGCGCAUACCCAAUUCCAAAAUCCAAAAUCGAAGCAGCCAAACGCCCAAGCCUUGAAACCUAAAUUCCUAAUUGCCUGUCUGCCGCCACAGCGCCACUAAAUUCCCCCUCUUCUGCCGUUCAACUCCAGACUCCUUGGAAAAUUAACGAUCUCCAGACUCCGGCCAGAUUUAUCUCGUUUCCCAGCGGUGACUCUUUAUAGUUUGAUUGAUUAAAAAAACAAGUAGAAGGACAAAUCUUAUUGAAUGAUGAUGAAAUAUUUGAAGAGGUCCUUGGUCCAGAGAAAAAUGACUAUUUGCGUGCUUAUGGUCCAAGAAAAAGUAUCACUGAAUAUUUUGGAAGUAGACCAAUUAAAGCACAACUUAUGAAACAAGUACAAACAACAAGGAAGGAAUCUAAUGAAAGGCUGAAGGAGGCAAAGAGGAAGCAAAUGAGAAAUUAUAAGAAGUAAAAGGCAAAUGGAGGAGAUGAAUAGACGAUGGGAAGAGAAGUUCAAGAUGAUGCUUACAACUUAAGGUCAACAAUCUUCAACAAAUAACCAAAUCUCUUUGGAUGAAAUUGUUGGUGGAAAUUCUUAAAUGGUCAAGAAAGGUUCAUAUAACAUUGAAGCAUUCAUAUUUUGUAAAAAAAUUAGUUGAUAACAUUUUUAAUUACUAAGAUGAAAGAUUUUACGAGUAGACAAUUAUUUGGUUAAAAAUGACUUUAUUAAUGUUUUAUUUUUUA
This is a long non-coding RNA of Pistacia vera, 730 nucleotides long. RefSeq lists it as uncharacterized. The record is from RefSeq and is a predicted model, not a curated record. The transcript has 3 exons. NCBI's taxonomy places the organism in Eukaryota, Viridiplantae, Streptophyta, Magnoliopsida, Sapindales, Anacardiaceae.